ACUUAAAUAAUUUAAAUUAAAAUAUUAGAUUGUGGUUCUAAUUAUGUAUAUAUUACUUUAAGUU
This 64-nucleotide transfer RNA is filed under the name Eurycantha calcarata. RNAcentral describes it as "tRNA-His". The record is from RNAcentral. Lineage: Eukaryota; Metazoa; Arthropoda; Insecta; Phasmatodea; Phasmatidae.